UGGCUGCCUCUGGUUGCUCCCAGUGUCAGGCUCAUCACUCAGAUCCUUGGAUGGAAACUGCCUGGAGGAUGGCUGCAGGAGUAAGCACAGCAGUGAGGUAUACUGGCAGAGCCUGCAGGCUCAUGGCAGGAAACCAAGGCCUUUUCUAGGAACUCACAGCCAACUCAUCAGGGAUGCAAGUGCCUUCUGCAGUAGAGCUGGGAAUACUGGACAUCCAGAGGAACUGAAGCAAGCUAACAAGUAUCAUUAGUAUCUUCUCCCGAAUCUGGGGCUGGAUGGAGAUCUGAGCCCAAAGUUGCAGGGCUGUGCUGCAAGGCAGAGCCCUCUGUCAGCAGGGCUGCCUUGGCCGCAGCAAGGCCUGGGCCAGCCCCACGGGGCUUGGCCUGCCCAGGGGCCCUGCCCAGGCUGGCAGAAGGGACUGAGGUGGUGUUCCCACCAGAAGCAGCACGUUGGCUCUGGGCUGGCUCAGACAAUGUAUCAGGGCUGGAAAUCUAGGUGGGAUGGAGAACCCCAUUCCUUUGAGGUGUCCUGUAGCAUUCUUUAGGUCUAGAAGUCAGAGAAUCUCAAGCUUUCUCUCCCCAUAGCAAACGAGCCCUCGGGAUUAUCAGGGCCAGCACCUGUCUCCUUGUGAAGUGAUGUUAAGAGUGUUGUGACUACAUCCUCAAGAAGGAAAGGGAGCCAUUCUAAGAUGACAUGGAAGAUAAAGGACAAAGAUGAGGCUGACCAGUUCAAGCUACUUCUUCAUGGGGAGAGCAAGGCAAUUAGUACCUACAGUGCAACUGAAGAAGGGUCUGGUAAUGAGGGACCCAUCUUUGAGAACAUGGGAAAGGUUUUGGAUGAAGCCUGGCACAAACUUGAAGGGGAGGCCUGCUCACAAUGUGUGUGUGUAGCCCUUGUCAGUCCCUACAGAGCAAGGAGGGCAGAUGGAGGCGGUGCCCUGGCAAGAUUAAUGUGCCACUGCUUGAACUUCUUGAAGAUCACAACACGGCAGGAGAGGAAACCUGCUGUGAAGUUCCUGGAGUGA
RNAcentral lists this long non-coding RNA (1024 nucleotides) under Cyanistes caeruleus (blue tit). RNAcentral's name for it is "lncRNA (ENSCCEG00000002095.1)". The record is from RNAcentral. Lineage: Eukaryota; Metazoa; Chordata; Aves; Passeriformes; Paridae.